GACGUAGGGUGCAAGCGUUAUCCGGAUUUACUGGGUUUAAAGGGUGCGUAGGCGGGUCUUUAAGUCAGUGGUGAAAACUCCGAGCUUAACUCGGAAACUGCCAUUGAUACUAUUGAUCUUGAAUUUAGUUGAGGUUGGCGGAAUGUGUCGUGUAGCGGUGAAAUGCUUAGAUAUGACACAGAACACCGAUUGCGAAGGCAGCUGGCUAAACUAAAAUUGACGCUGAGGCACGAAAGUGUGGGGAUCAAACAGG
RNAcentral lists this ribosomal RNA (253 nucleotides) under uncultured bacterium. RNAcentral describes it as "partial 16S ribosomal RNA". It matches the Rfam family "Bacterial small subunit ribosomal RNA", at positions 524 to 776 of the family's 1533-position model. The record is from RNAcentral.